GUGGUUCAGUGGUAGAAUGCUCGCCUGCCACGUGGGCGGCCCGGGUUCAAUUCAUGCAUUUUUUUACA
Non-coding RNA from Cordylochernes scorpioides, 68 nucleotides. The record is from the annotation of a GenBank genome assembly. Lineage: Eukaryota; Metazoa; Arthropoda; Arachnida; Pseudoscorpiones; Chernetidae.